AUUGAACGCUGGCGGCAGGCCUAACACAUGCAAGUCGAGCGGAUGAAGGGAGCUUGCUCCUGGAUUCAGCGGCGGACGGGUGAGUAAUGCCUAGGAAUCUGCCUGGUAGUGGGGGAUAACGUCCGGAAACGGGCGCUAAUACCGCAUACGUCCUGAGGGAGAAAGUGGGGGAUCUUCGGACCUCACGCUAUCAGAUGAGCCUAGGUCGGAUUAGCUAGUUGGUGGGGUAAAGGCCUACCAAGGCGACGAUCCGUAACUGGUCUGAGAGGAUGAUCAGUCACACUGGAACUGAGACACGGUCCAGACUCCUACGGGAGGCAGCAGUGGGGAAUAUUGGACAAUGGGCGAAAGCCUGAUCCAGCCAUGCCGCGUGUGUGAAGAAGGUCUUCGGAUUGUAAAGCACUUUAAGUUGGGAGGAAGGGCAGUAAGUUAAUACCUUGCUUUUUUGACGUUACCAACAGAAUAAGCACCGGCUAACUUCGUG
Molecule: ribosomal RNA, 484 nt
Filed under: uncultured bacterium
Lineage: Bacteria
Description: partial 16S ribosomal RNA
Rfam family: Bacterial small subunit ribosomal RNA
Source: RNAcentral